AGUGAACGCUGGCGGUAGGCCUAACACAUGCAAGUCGAACGGCAGCACAGUAAGAGCUUGCUCUUCCGGGUGGCGAGUGGCGGACGGGUGAGGAAUACAUCGGAAUCUACUUUUUCGUGGGGGAUAACGUAGGGAAACUUACGCUAAUACCGCAUACGACCUACGGGGGAAAGCAGGGGAUCUUUGGACCUUGCGCGAUUGAAUGAGCCGAUGUCGGAUUUGCUAGUUGGCGGGGUAAAGGCCCACCAAGGCGAGGAUCCGUAGCUGGUCUGAGAGGAUGAUCAGCCACACUGGAACUGAGACACGGUCCAGACUCCUACGGGAGGCAGCAGUGGGGAAUAUUGGACAAUGGGCGCAAGCCUGAUCCAGCCAUACCGCGUGGGUGAAGAAGGCCUUCGGGUUGUAAAGCCCUUUUGUUGGGAAAGAAAAGCAGCAGGUUAAUACCCCGCUGUUCUGACGGUACCCAAAGAAUAAGCACCGGCUAACUUCGUG
This 492-nucleotide ribosomal RNA is filed under the name uncultured bacterium. Its description in RNAcentral is "partial 16S ribosomal RNA". It matches the Rfam family "Bacterial small subunit ribosomal RNA", at positions 29 to 507 of the family's 1533-position model. The record is from RNAcentral.